GCAAACAAAAACACCAGGCGCUAAGCUGACGGUGCGGGCAGUAGUAUAUAGUCCAUAAAUGUGCAUUUAACUCUUGCGAGGAAUACUAAGAGGGAGGGGGAGCGACGGCUGCUUUGUGGAAGAACUGAGAAGGCGGCGCAAAGUGAAAACAUGGGCAGUGAGCCACCAUCCUCAGCACACUCAGGCAGAGGUUUACCCAGCGAGACGACGGAGUGCUUCAUAUGCAGGGAGGCUGAACUUCAAGCCCGUGACCCGCUGAGGCAUUUCUGCGACUGCAAGAAUUUACUUGCCCAUCACGUGUGUCUGUCCACGUGGAUCCUGAAGGGAUGCGAGAGCGGAAACCGGCUGCGCUGCAUUAUCUGCAAAGCCAAGGGCUCGCAGACUGCAUCAUUCUUUUUAGGGGGAUCAUUUCUUUCUCUUUCUCCGUUUCUUAUUGAUAUGAUGCCAAAAAUAUGCUCCCAGGGCUAUCAUUUUUCUGCGUCCGUUUGCAAAAGCGGAGGCCUAAGAGGAUUUAUCUUCGUGACCCAUCACACAAAGACAAUGAGCCGCAGAAUAGCGGCGUCCGACUGGGAGGACCGAGAGUGGGCGCACCCAGCCGUCCUCAGGCGUCCCUCUAAAGGCGGCCUCAUGUUACAGUACCAGCUGCAGAGGACCUCUCCAUGGCGCUCGGUGAGCUCCCAGUGGCAGACGUGGCUGAUGCUGAUCACCGGCUUGGCUUUAAUGGGUCUGGUACCUUAUGUAGUUCACUGCAUGAUGACUGCCUUCACCAGGCCUCCUCCGCCCACCACCUUCAAAGUGGCAGCCGCUGCUUAUGGUCUGCUGGCAGAGAUCCUGCUGAUCAAGUGUCUGUGCAGCUACCUCAGCGGCUGUUACCGGCGGGCGGAGCAAAGCGCGUUCACGAUCCGGGCCAGAGGCCCCGAGGAGCACGGGACGAGCCUGGCCUGCUGAAAGCGGUCCGAGGCCUCAGCAGAGGCAGGCCGCGCUUCACCGGAGGGGGAAAGUGGACGAAAGGAAAGAGGGGACGUCUCGGCUUCUUCUGGACCAGUAACCAGGAAACGGGUUGAGAGUAAAUCCUGUGGAUGGUACCCACGGACAACAGCUUCGCCGUGGCAGUCACGAGAUCGAACACUUUAAAACCUAUUUUAGAGGCAAACACAUUCACAUUCCAUCGCGCCGUAAUGGCUCCAUCUCCCGUGCUUCUGCAGCUAAUUGAAUGGCCUGUGAAGUGGUUUGACGAGGACGGGGCGAGAGCAACGUCUGUCCAGCUGCUACUUCAGAAACGAGUGAAGCUUCCCAGCGAAAGAUUACCGUAGUCCUUAAAACGUGAACCAUUGCCGCGGAGAUGGAGGAGGGGCCGACAAGUAGCCCUCCUGUUGUAGAAGCCUCAUUUUGUCCAUGGGUCACAGUAAUAAAUAAAAGCUUUUAUUUAGCACAUACUGUAUGUUUUUCAUGUGGGGGCAGGGGGUUAUUGUUAGAGUAACGAAAUUCCAGCGGCACAGAAACUCAGGUGGCGGCUUUUGAACACCUGCUGUCUCUCAGACACACGCCGUCGAGAAGGAACAAAAAGGGCUCUCGAUCUCUCGAGGUUCUACAACGAGCAGACAUGCAGGAUCGUAGAUCGGCUCAAUCUGGAACACGCAUGUAUCUUUGUGGGCAACAUCUUGGAGACAGUUUGGACCGAUCACUGUGCCACAUGCAACAUGUUAUUCCCCCUUUGGCUGGAUUAGUGACGCCGGCGAAACGGGUCAGCAGAGCCGCUCGUAGUGAGUGUGGUCUUGUAACGUGAGGCCUGUUGGAGUCUUACAUCGACGGCAUGAAGGGUCACCUCCUUUAUUAAAAGUUCCGUGAUAGAUGAGGCGUGGAAGACCGAAAAAUGGAGAUCAAAAGAGUUCUUCAUGUGGGAGGUAAAAAAGCCUUUUGCACCGUUGACAACGAACAGAGAAAAACCACAAAGAGAAAUAUAUCAUUGUUGUGACAACAGGGUAGAUGAGACCAGCACGGGGAAGCUAACGUGUACUAAUGGUGGUGGGAG
Long non-coding RNA from Gasterosteus aculeatus aculeatus (three-spined stickleback), 2032 nucleotides. NCBI's taxonomy places the organism in Eukaryota, Metazoa, Chordata, Actinopteri, Perciformes, Gasterosteidae. The record is from Ensembl.